GAACGCUGGCGGCGUGCUUAACACAUGCAAGUCGAACGAACCUUCGGGUUAGUGGCGGACGGGUGAGUAACGCGUGAGAAUCUGCCCUCAGGAGGGGGAUAACGGCUGGAAACGGCCGCUAAUACCCCAUAUGCCGCGAGGUGAAAUGAGUUUCGCCUGAGGAUGAGCUCGCGUCUGAUUAGCUAGUUGGUGGGGUAAGAGCCUACGANGACGACGAUCAGUAGCUGGUCUGAGAGGAUGAUCAGCCACUCUUCCUCUGAGACACUGACCAGACUCCUACGG
RNAcentral lists this ribosomal RNA (282 nucleotides) under uncultured bacterium. Its description in RNAcentral is "partial 16S ribosomal RNA". It matches the Rfam family "Bacterial small subunit ribosomal RNA", at positions 31 to 344 of the family's 1533-position model. The record is from RNAcentral.